AACGAACGCUGGCGGCAUGCCUAACACAUGCAAGUCGAACGAGACCUUCGGGUCUAGUGGCGCACGGGUGCGUAACGCGUGGGAAUCUACCCUCAGGUUCGGAAUAACUCAGAGAAAUUUGAGCUAAUACCGGAUGAUGACGUAAGUCCAAAGAUUUAUCGCCUGAGGAUGAGCCCGCUUAGGAUUAGGUAGUUGGUGAGGUAAAGGCUCACCAAGCCGACGAUCCUUAGCUGGUCUGAGAGGAUGAUCAGCCACACUGGGACUGAGACACGGCCCAGACUCCUACGGGAGGCAGCAGUGGGGAAUAUUGGACAAUGGGCGAAAGCCUGAUCCAGCAAGGCCGCGUGAGUGAUGAAGGCCUUAGGGUUGUAAAGCUCUUUUACCCGGGAUGAUAAUGACAGUACCGGGAGAAUAAGCGCCGGCUAACUCCGUG
This 433-nucleotide ribosomal RNA is filed under the name uncultured bacterium. Its description in RNAcentral is "partial 16S ribosomal RNA". It matches the Rfam family "Bacterial small subunit ribosomal RNA", at positions 29 to 507 of the family's 1533-position model. The record is from RNAcentral.